RNAcentral lists this ribosomal RNA (484 nucleotides) under uncultured bacterium. RNAcentral describes it as "partial 16S ribosomal RNA". It matches the Rfam family "Bacterial small subunit ribosomal RNA", at positions 30 to 507 of the family's 1533-position model. The record is from RNAcentral.
AUUGAACGCUGGCGGCAUGCUUUACACAUGCAAGUCGAACGAUGAACCUUAGCUUGCUCCGGGGCUUAGUGGCGAACGGGUGAGUAAUAUAUCGGAGCGUGCCUUGUAAUGGGGGAUAACUAGUCGAAAGAUUAGCUAAUACCGCAUACGCCCUGAGGGGGAAAGUAGGGGAUCUUCGGACCUUACGUUAUAAGAGCGGCCGAUAUCUGAUUAGCUAGUUGGUGGGGUAAUGGCCUACCAAGGCGACGAUCAGUAGCUGGUCUGAGAGGACGACCAGCCACACUGGAACUGAGACACGGUCCAGACUCCGACGGGAGGCAGCAGUGGGGAAUUUUGGACAAUGGGCGCAAGCCUGAUCCAGCCAUACCGCGUGAGUGAAGAAGGCCUUCGGGUUGUAAAGCUCUUUCGCAAGGGAAGAAAACAUGCCAUCGAAUAAAUGGUGAGGCUGACGGUACCUUGAUAAGAAGCACCGGCUAACUACGUG